AUACGGAGGGUGCAAGCGUUACUCGGAAUCACUGGGCGUAAGGCGCGCGCAGGCGGCUAUUUAAGUUGGAUGUGAAAGCCUACGGCUCAACCGUAGAACUGCAUCCAAAACUAUUUAGCUAGAGUGUGGGAGAGGAAGAUGGAAUUAGUUGUGUAGGGGUAAAAUCCGUAGAGAUAACUAGGAAUACCAAAAGCGAAGGCAAUCUUCUGGAACACUACUGACGCUGAGGCGCGAAAGCGUGGGGAGCAAACGGGAUUAGAAACCCUAGUAGUCC
This 274-nucleotide ribosomal RNA is filed under the name uncultured bacterium. RNAcentral describes it as "partial 16S ribosomal RNA". It matches the Rfam family "Bacterial small subunit ribosomal RNA", at positions 523 to 796 of the family's 1533-position model. The record is from RNAcentral.